Molecule: ribosomal RNA, 453 nt
Filed under: uncultured bacterium
Lineage: Bacteria
Description: partial 16S ribosomal RNA
Rfam family: Bacterial small subunit ribosomal RNA
Source: RNAcentral
ACGGAAGGCAGCAGUGAGGAAUAUUGGUCAAUGGGCGGAAGCCUGAACCAGCCAAGUCGCGUGAAGGAUGAAGGUAUUAUGUAUUGUAAACUUCUUUAGACGUAGAGAAAUAAGCCCCUCGUGAGGGGUGAUGCUAGUAUACGUAGAAUGAGGAUCGGCUAACUCCGUGCCAGCAGCCGCGGUAAUACGGAGGAUCCGAGCGUUAUCCGGAUUUAUUGGGUUUAAAGGGUGCGCAGGCGGUCUUUUAAGUCAGUGGUUAAAUCGUGAGGCUCAACCUCAUCACGCCAUUGAUACUGGAGGACUUGAUUGCGGUCGAGGUUGGCGGAAUUCGCCGUGUAGCGGUGAAAUGCAUAGAUAUGGCGAAGAACUCCGAUUGCGUAGGCAGCUGACCAGGCCGUAAAUGACGCUCAUGCACGAAAGUGCGGGGAUCGAACAGGAUUAGAUACCCUGGUA